This 2554-nucleotide ribosomal RNA is filed under the name Shigella sonnei. Its description in RNAcentral is "bacterial LSU rRNA". It matches the Rfam family "Bacterial large subunit ribosomal RNA", at positions 391 to 2925 of the family's 2925-position model. The record is from RNAcentral. Lineage: Bacteria; Pseudomonadati; Pseudomonadota; Gammaproteobacteria; Enterobacterales; Enterobacteriaceae.
CACAUAUUGUGAGCUCGAUGAGUAGGGCGGGACACGUGGUAUCCUGUCUGAAUAUGGGGGGCCCAUCCUCCAAGGCUAAAUACUCCUGACUGACCGAUAGUGAACCAGUACCGUGAGGGAAAGGCGAAAAGAACCCCGGCGAGGGGAGUGAAAAAGAACCUGAAACCGUGUACGUACAAGCAGUGGGAGCACGCUUAGGCGUGUGACUGCGUACCUUUUGUAUAAUGGGUCAGCGACUUAUAUUCUGUAGCAAGGUUAACCGAAUAGGGGAGCCGAAGGGAAACCGAGUCUUAACUGGGCGUUAAGUUGCAGGGUAUAGACCCGAAACCCGGUGAUCUAGCCAUGGGCAGGUUGAAGGUUGGGUAACACUAACUGGAGGACCGAACCGACUAAUGUUGAAAAAUUAGCGGAUGACUUGUGGCUGGGGGUGAAAGGCCAAUCAAACCGGGAGAUAGCUGGUUCUCCCCGAAAGCUAUUUAGGUAGCGCCUCGUGAAUUCAUCUCCGGGGGUAGAGCACUGUUUCGGCAAGGGGGUCAUCCCGACUUACCAACCCGAUGCAAACUGCGAAUACCGGAGAAUGUUAUCACGGGAGACACACGGCGGGUGCUAACGUCCGUCGUGAAGAGGGAAACAACCCAGACCGCCAGCUAAGGUCCCAAAGUCAUGGUUAAGUGGGAAACGAUGUGGGAAGGCCCAGACAGCCAGGAUGUUGGCUUAGAAGCAGCCAUCAUUUAAAGAAAGCGUAAUAGCUCACUGGUCGAGUCGGCCUGCGCGGAAGAUGUAACGGGGCUAAACCAUGCACCGAAGCUGCGGCAGCGACGCUUAUGCGUUGUUGGGUAGGGGAGCGUUCUGUAAGCCUGCGAAGGUGUGCUGUGAGGCAUGCUGGAGGUAUCAGAAGUGCGAAUGCUGACAUAAGUAACGAUAAAGCGGGUGAAAAGCCCGCUCGCCGGAAGACCAAGGGUUCCUGUCCAACGUUAAUCGGGGCAGGGUGAGUCGACCCCUAAGGCGAGGCCGAAAGGCGUAGUCGAUGGGAAACAGGUUAAUAUUCCUGUACUUGGUGUUACUGCGAAGGGGGGACGGAGAAGGCUAUGUUGGCCGGGCGACGGUUGUCCCGGUUUAAGCGUGUAGGCUGGUUUUCCAGGCAAAUCCGGAAAAUCAAGGCUGAGGCGUGAUGACGAGGCACUACGGUGCUGAAGCAACAAAUGCCCUGCUUCCAGGAAAAGCCUCUAAGCAUCAGGUAACAUCAAAUCGUACCCCAAACCGACACAGGUGGUCAGGUAGAGAAUACCAAGGCGCUUGAGAGAACUCGGGUGAAGGAACUAGGCAAAAUGGUGCCGUAACUUCGGGAGAAGGCACGCUGAUAUGUAGGUGAAGUCCCUUGCGGAUGGAGCUGAAAUCAGUCGAAGAUACCAGCUGGCUGCAACUGUUUAUUAAAAACACAGCACUGUGCAAACACGAAAGUGGACGUAUACGGUGUGACGCCUGCCCGGUGCCGGAAGGUUAAUUGAUGGGGUCAGCGCAAGCGAAGCUCUUGAUCGAAGCCCCGGUAAACGGCGGCCGUAACUAUAACGGUCCUAAGGUAGCGAAAUUCCUUGUCGGGUAAGUUCCGACCUGCACGAAUGGCGUAAUGAUGGCCAGGCUGUCUCCACCCGAGACUCAGUGAAAUUGAACUCGCUGUGAAGAUGCAGUGUACCCGCGGCAAGACGGAAAGACCCCGUGAACCUUUACUAUAGCUUGACACUGAACAUUGAGCCUUGAUGUGUAGGAUAGGUGGGAGGCUUUGAAGUGUGGACGCCAGUCUGCAUGGAGCCGGCCUUGAAAUACCACCCUUUAAUGUUUGAUGUUCUAACGUGGACCCGUGAUCCGGGUUGCGGACAGUGUCUGGUGGGUAGUUUGACUGGGGCGGUCUCCUCCUAAAGAGUAACGGAGGAGCACGAAGGUUGGCUAAUCCUGGUCGGACAUCAGGAGGUUAGUGCAAUGGCAUAAGCCAGCUUGACUGCGAGCGUGACGGCGCGAGCAGGUGCGAAAGCAGGUCAUAGUGAUCCGGUGGUUCUGAAUGGAAGGGCCAUCGCUCAACGGAUAAAAGGUACUCCGGGGAUAACAGGCUGAUACCGCCCAAGAGUUCAUAUCGACGGCGGUGUUUGGCACCUCGAUGUCGGCUCAUCACAUCCUGGGGCUGAAGUAGGUCCCAAGGGUAUGGCUGUUCGCCAUUUAAAGUGGUACGCGAGCUGGGUUUAGAACGUCGUGAGACAGUUCGGUCCCUAUCUGCCGUGGGCGCUGGAGAACUGAGGGGGGCUGCUCCUAGUACGAGAGGACCGGAGUGGACGCAUCACUGGUGUUCGGGUUGUCAUGCCAAUGGCACUGCCCGGUAGCUAAAUGCGGAAGAGAUAAGUGCUGAAAGCAUCUAAGCACGAAACUUGCCCCGAGAUGAGUUCUCCCUGACCCUUUAAGGGUCCUGAAGGAACGUUGAAGACGACGACGUUGAUAGGCCGGGUGUGUAAGCGCAGCGAUGCGUUGAGCUAACCGGUACUAAUGAACCGUGAGGCUUAACCUU